This 574-nucleotide ribosomal RNA is filed under the name uncultured rumen bacterium. RNAcentral's name for it is "bacterial SSU rRNA". It matches the Rfam family "Bacterial small subunit ribosomal RNA", at positions 347 to 916 of the family's 1533-position model. The record is from RNAcentral.
GGCAGCAGCUAAGAAUAUUCCGCAAUGGACGAAAGUCUGACGGAGCGACGCCGCGUGGACGAUGAAGGCCGGAAGGUUGUAAAGUCCUUUUGGAUAUGAGGAAUAAACACUGCAGGGAAUGGCAGUGCGGUGACUGUAGUAUCUGAAUAAGCAACGGCUAAUUACGUGCCAGCAGCCGCGGUAACACGUAAGUUGCGAGCGUUGUUCGGAAUUAUUGGGCGUAAAGGGCAUGUAGGCGGCAUAGCAAGCUUGGCGUGAAAUCCUCGGGCUUAACCCGAGAACUGCGCUGAGAACUGUUGAGCUUGAGUUACUGAAGGGCAUCCGGAAUUCCAGGUGUAGGGGUGAAAUCUGUAGAUAUCUGGAAGAACACCGAUGGCGAAGGCAGGGUGCCGGCAGAUAACUGACGCUGAGGUGCGAAGGUGCGGGGAGCGAACAGGAUUAGAUACCCUGGUAGUCCGCACAGUAAACGAUGUACACUAGGUGUCUGGACACGAGUCUGGGUGCCAAAGCAAACGUGAUAAGUGUACCGCCUGGGAAGUAUGCCCGCAAGGGUGAAACUCAAAGGAAUUGACGG